GGGUCAUUAGGUUGGUCGUGCCACCGGUACGUACUGGCCUCACUGAUUCCUCCUUCCUGAAGAACCGUAAUGCCAUUAAUUUGGUGUUGCGGGGAAACAGGACUGUUACUUUGAAAAAAUUAGAGUGUUUAAAGCAAGCUAACGCUUGAAUACAUUAGCAUGGAAUAAUGAAAUAGGACGAUCGAUCCUAUUUUGUUGGUUUCUAGGAUUGACGUA
RNAcentral lists this ribosomal RNA (216 nucleotides) under Glomeromycotina sp. Its description in RNAcentral is "partial small subunit ribosomal RNA". The stretch from base 40 to 216 matches the Rfam family "Eukaryotic small subunit ribosomal RNA", at positions 686 to 864 of the family's 1831-position model. The record is from RNAcentral. Lineage: Eukaryota; Fungi; Glomeromycota.